AUCCUGGCUCAGGAUGAACGCUAGCGGCAGGCCUAAUACAUGCAAGUCGAACGGUAAGUUGAGUAGCAAUACUUGACCUAGAGUGACGUACGGGUGCGUAACACGUAUGCAACCUACCCAUAACAGGAGGAUAGCUCCCCGAAAGGGGAAUUAACCCUCCAUAAUAUAAUUGGAUGGCAUCAUUUGAUUAUUAAAACUCCGGUGGUUAUGGAUGGGCAUGCGUCUGAUUAGCUAGUUGGCGGUGUAACGGACCACCAAGGCGAUGAUCAGUAGGGGAACUGAGAGGUUGAUCCCCCACACUGGCACUGAGAUACGGGCCAGACUCCUACGGGAGGCAGCAGUAGGGAAUAUUGGUCAAUGGAUGCAAGUCUGAACCAGCCAUGCCGCGUGCAGGAAGACGGCCCUAUGGGUUGUAAACUGCUUUUGCCAGGGGAUAAAACGAGCAUGCGUGCUUAAUUGAAGGUACCUGGUGAAUAAGCCACGGCUAACUACGUG
RNAcentral lists this ribosomal RNA (495 nucleotides) under uncultured Bacteroidota bacterium. RNAcentral's name for it is "bacterial SSU rRNA". It matches the Rfam family "Bacterial small subunit ribosomal RNA", at positions 16 to 507 of the family's 1533-position model. Lineage: Bacteria; Pseudomonadati; Bacteroidota. The record is from RNAcentral.